This 661-nucleotide ribosomal RNA is filed under the name Triticum aestivum (bread wheat). RNAcentral describes it as "partial small subunit ribosomal RNA". The record is from RNAcentral. Lineage: Eukaryota; Viridiplantae; Streptophyta; Magnoliopsida; Poales; Poaceae.
GGUCUACGGCCGAUAGGGCGCCGAGGGGGACAACCAAUUCCCGCGGGGGUCGGCGGAGGCAGGGGAGACCUUGGGAUCGGGGGUUUAGGGGGUAGAGGGAGAGGGAGCGGGCGAGAGAAGCGGGGCGCGCUCUAGCGGCGCAGUGGUGGCGGCGCAGUAGCAGUGGUGCUGGUUGCUCGAGAGGCGGCGCCCUCUUGGAUGGUCCUCGGGACGCAGCAAGCAGGUGUGGCAGGAGCGGGCGUUCGAGCUCAGCGCCUCCAGCAGUAGCGGGCUAGCCCGUAGAAGGGGACAAAGCCAGCGGCGGCAGGGCGGCGCAGCAAGUCGAGGAGGCCAGGAGGGGCUCGGAGAGGUCGGACAGGGGCCGGAAGGGCUCUUAUGGUAGGCGGGGGACUGCAACCUCGGGUACUCGGUCUGCGGUGGUAGCUGCUGCUGAUGAUGAUGAGCCCUCCACGGAUGAUGAUGCACGUCGGGCGACUGCUGCUGGUCCUCAUCAAAUCCUCCUAGGGUCCGUCCUCCGGACACGGAGAAAGCUAGACAUAGGAUCAAACACGAUCGGAAGAAUUCCGUUUGAACAAAUUGUAUACGGACAUGAGUCUAUAACAACGAAGGCGACUGAGCAGAUACUAGCUCGAGAACAUAAGCUCGGGAGCUCCGGGAACCG